CGUCUCCUUAUUGGUCCACAAUGCCACUCCAUGAUGGCAGGACUCCAGAGGCCUGGACCCGUGACAGCAGCGACCAGGAGCUGAUCAAUAAGUGUGCAUCCUCCCCUCAGCUGAUCAAUAAGAAGCUGACGUCAGGAGGUGUCACCAUGUCUGCAGAGAAG
Entelurus aequoreus (snake pipefish) is the source of this 161-nucleotide long non-coding RNA. RefSeq lists it as uncharacterized. NCBI's taxonomy places the organism in Eukaryota, Metazoa, Chordata, Actinopteri, Syngnathiformes, Syngnathidae. The record is from RefSeq and is a predicted model, not a curated record. The transcript has 3 exons.